This 77-nucleotide transfer RNA is filed under the name Bradypus variegatus (Brown-throated sloth). Its description in RNAcentral is "tRNA-Leu". It matches the Rfam family "tRNA". From Rfam's summary of the family: Transfer RNA (tRNA) molecules are approximately 80 nucleotides in length. Lineage: Eukaryota; Metazoa; Chordata; Mammalia; Pilosa; Bradypodidae. The record is from RNAcentral.
CUUAAGAUGGCAGAGCCCGGCAAGUGCAUAAUUCUUAAACCUUUACAAUCUGAGGUUCAACUCCUCUUCUAAACACA